UACGGGGGGGGCAAGCGUUGUUCGGAAUCAUUGGGCUUAAAGAGCGCGUAGGCGGCGACGUAAGUUGGAAGUGAAAUCCCAUCGGCUCAACCGUGGAAUCGCUCCCAGUACUGCGUUGCUCGAGGGAGAUAGGGGCCUGUGGAACUGCCGGUGGAGCGGUGAAAUGUGUUGAUAUCGGCGGGAACGCCAGUGGCGAAAGCGACAGGCUGGACCUUUUCUGACGCUGAGGCGCGAAAGCUAGGGGAGCAAACGGG
Molecule: ribosomal RNA, 254 nt
Filed under: uncultured bacterium
Lineage: Bacteria
Description: partial 16S ribosomal RNA
Rfam family: Bacterial small subunit ribosomal RNA
Source: RNAcentral